AUUCAUGCAACAAGCAGUACCUUUACCCUUCGCCACCAAGGUGUAUCAUGUGGUCCAUAUUGUCGCUCCACCAAUUGUCCACACGCAUGUGCAAUCACAUUUUAAAGAUCAUCAUCAGAUAUAACAUGCUCCUGAAUCUUAUGAUGAAGAGGAUGAAAUGCAUGAGGAUAUAAGGGGCAUAAAGGAAAAUUACCAGAUC
This 199-nucleotide long non-coding RNA is filed under the name Lathyrus oleraceus (garden pea). RNAcentral describes it as "Pisum sativum (pea) long non-coding RNA (PSAT_LNC026833)". The record is from RNAcentral. Lineage: Eukaryota; Viridiplantae; Streptophyta; Magnoliopsida; Fabales; Fabaceae.